UGGGGAAUAUUGCACAAUGGGCGCAAGCCUGAUGCAGCCAUGCCGCGUGUGUGAAGAAGGCCUUCGGGUUGUAAAGCACUUUCAGCGAGGAGGAAGGGUAGUGUGUUAAUAGCACAUUGCAUUGACGUUACUCGCAGAAGAAGCACCAGCUAACUCCGUGCCAGCAGCCGCGGUAAUACGGAGGGUGCAAGCGUUAAUCGGAAUUACUGGGCGUAAAGCGCACGCAGGCGGUUUGUUAAGUCAGAUGUGAAAUCCCCGCGCUUAACGUGGGAACUGCAUUUGAAACUGGCAAGCUAGAGUCUUGUAGAGGGGGGUAGAAUUCCAGGUGUAGCGGUGAAAUGCGUAGAGAUCUGGAGGAAUACCGGUGGCGAAGGCGGCCCCCUGGACAAAGACUGACGCUCAGGUGCGAAAGCGUGGGGAGCAAACA
This 427-nucleotide ribosomal RNA is filed under the name uncultured bacterium. RNAcentral's name for it is "partial 16S ribosomal RNA". It matches the Rfam family "Bacterial small subunit ribosomal RNA", at positions 355 to 774 of the family's 1533-position model. The record is from RNAcentral.